UGUUCUUUUUCUCAUUCAACCGUCUUCACCUUUCUCUUAUCUUCGUUGAUAUCCUCUUCUUCUAGGAAUCCAGAUCUCGUUCAUCUUCCUUCUUUGAUUCGUUUCUCUUCAUCAGAUCUGUAUGGAUCUGAUCAAUCUCUACACACAGAUGGUGAUUUCUACGCGAUCUGUCAUGGAUCUGACUCUUGAUGCCUCAGAUCUACGAUCCAGAGGUAUGUCGAAGCCGUGAUGAGAAGAUCGUAGAUCGAGACUCGAAUUCAGGCGAUGCCGCUAUCUUGAUUGAUCUGGAUGCUUCUGCCUCAAGAACGUAGAUCUGGAAGCAUGUAUUGCUAUGUUCUCUGUUGCGAAUCUCAGAUUUGAUCUAUGUUGUAAUUAUAGUUUAUGCUGGGAGGCUUCGAGGGGGGAAUAUGUGGAUGUGGGAGAUUUUGGGAUGAAAUUCCUCAUUCCAUUGAAUGGAUUUGAGGUAUUGAAUCCUGAGUGAUCUUGUCAUCCGACCUUUGCCAUGUCAGGUGCGCUUGCAUGGCAGGUCAACAUGUUAAUAAAAAAAGUUUUCGUUGGGUUUGGGGGAGAUCGCACGGGAAUUCCCGGGAUCUCUUUCCCCUGUGUGUGUGGUUCGUUUGCCUGAUCCUUUCCCUUUUGCUUUUAACUUUUUGCCCUGUCGCUCGGCUCUGAAUUACUACUACUCACCACUCGGUAGAUCCAUCAUCAGAUAAGCUCCUGCAAGUCAUCGACGACCCUAUCAUAAGGUAUUAUCUAUCAGUUUUUAAUUUAGAUCAAUUCCGAUAACAACUACAGCAAAUUACAGCCAUAAUUAACACGUCAAUGGUUAAAAUAUGCUAGAUCAACUCUUAAUUUUCAUGGAUAUGGCACGUAUUUAGUCUAACUUUCUUCUUAUAAACGCCUGUCCCACCAAUUUAAUUUAAUUAGCUGGUAAUUAUAAUCAUGGGCCAAGUUUUGUUAAUUUUCGGUUACGACUGCGUAUUCUCUGUUAAUUUAAUUUAAUCGCAUAUGGCAACCAUUUGAUUCUUAACUCCACUUGAUAUAGACCUUUUUCUAAAGGCAUUUGGAGAUUUGUAAUAUCUUGUUGGGACAUAUGUAUUAAAGGAUGUAAUUUCAGAAAUAUAGGAAUAUAGCUAUGUAAUUGCAAGGAACUUUUGAAGAUGAUGUGGUCAAGUUAUCUCCGGGAAUGGCACACUAUUGACGAUGUGAAGAUGUGAUAUGUAUGUAGGUUGAUUGUGGUUAAUCAUUAUUCCUCACAAGUAUACGAAGGUGAAUUCAAUUUUGUUUCAGUUAUUCA
Lotus japonicus is the source of this 1297-nucleotide long non-coding RNA. RefSeq lists it as uncharacterized. The record is from RefSeq and is a predicted model, not a curated record. Lineage: Eukaryota; Viridiplantae; Streptophyta; Magnoliopsida; Fabales; Fabaceae. The transcript has 3 exons.